RNAcentral lists this ribosomal RNA (242 nucleotides) under uncultured bacterium. RNAcentral describes it as "partial 16S ribosomal RNA". It matches the Rfam family "Bacterial small subunit ribosomal RNA", at positions 93 to 334 of the family's 1533-position model. The record is from RNAcentral.
GACCGGCGCACGGGUGAGUAACACGUAUGCAACCUGCCUACAACCGGGGGAUAGCCCGGCGAAAGUCGGAUUAAUACCGCAUAACACAGGGGCUCCGCAUGGAGAUAUUUGUUAAAACUGAGGUGGUUGUAGAUGGGCAUGCGUUCCAUUAGCUAGUUGGUAAGGUAACGGCUUACCAAGGCAACGAUGGAUAGGGGAACUGAGAGGUUUAUCCCCCACACUGGAACUGAGACACGGACCAG